GCACUGCUGACGAGUCCCAAACAGGACGCAAUAGCUAUCCGGUGC
Molecule: non-coding RNA, 45 nt
Filed under: Echinostoma caproni
Lineage: Eukaryota; Metazoa; Platyhelminthes; Trematoda; Plagiorchiida; Echinostomatidae
Source: RNAcentral